This 217-nucleotide unclassified non-coding RNA is filed under the name Hevea brasiliensis (rubber tree). The record is from RNAcentral. Lineage: Eukaryota; Viridiplantae; Streptophyta; Magnoliopsida; Malpighiales; Euphorbiaceae.
CCAUUAGCUAACGUUUAUAAGUAUGCAAUAGUUAAGUCAAGGCAAUCUUCCAAGCCAAACUAUAAACUUUUAAAAUCCAAACCUGGUUAACUGGUUUUAACUGAUCCAAAACAAGAGUAAGAACGCUCUCCGGUAUCCAGAACAAUAGAAUCAAUAAUCAGAAUUGCAAGCCAUUAAUUGUCCAAACAUUCAUCAAACCCACAAAAACAUUUCUUGG